Molecule: ribosomal RNA, 141 nt
Filed under: uncultured bacterium
Lineage: Bacteria
Description: partial 16S ribosomal RNA
Rfam family: Bacterial small subunit ribosomal RNA
Source: RNAcentral
UACGGGAGGCAGCAGUGGGGAAUUUUGGACAAUGGGCGAAAGCCUGAUCCAGCAAUGCCGCGUGUGUGAAGAAGGCCUUCGGGUUGUAAAGCACUUUUGUCCGGAAAGAAAUCCUUGGUUCUAAUAUAGCCGGGGGAUGAC